CUGUAGAACUGCAACACUGUAGGAUCAGCUCUCACUACUUUUGGGUCAAAAUCCAGAACACGGAGACCUGCAAGGCUACGGGCUCGGGAAAGGGCUACAUAAGCCUGCCCACUUUCAAAGACACGAGACAGGGAGAUUUCCACAGAAUCUAAAGACAUGCCCUGGCUCUUGUGAAUGGAAAUGGCCCAUGCCAAUUUUAGGGGCAACUGCUGGCGACUCAGAUGAACUCCUGAUGGCCCCUUGAAGAGCCACCUCUCCAUUUUGAUGACUUGUGUGACUCCACAGAGAAACCUUACCUUGGGCAGCCCCUUCUGUUCAGUUUCAAAUCCUACAACAACUCCUCGUGCUCCAUUCACCAGCCCUUGAGACACGUCCAGAUUCUUAGCUAGCAUCACCUGAGCUCCGACCUUGAGCUCAACUCUACCACCCACAGGACACUGAUCAUCA
RNAcentral lists this long non-coding RNA (447 nucleotides) under Gallus gallus (chicken). Lineage: Eukaryota; Metazoa; Chordata; Aves; Galliformes; Phasianidae. The record is from RNAcentral.